This 406-nucleotide ribosomal RNA is filed under the name uncultured bacterium. RNAcentral's name for it is "bacterial SSU rRNA". It matches the Rfam family "Bacterial small subunit ribosomal RNA", at positions 356 to 774 of the family's 1533-position model. The record is from RNAcentral.
UAAGAAUAUUCCGCAAUGGACGGAAGUCUGACGGAGCGACGCCGCGUGGAUGACGAAGGCCGAAAGGUUGUAAACCUCUUUCAGCAGGGACGAAGCGAAAGUGACUGUACCUGCAGAAGAAGCACCGGCUAACUACGUGCCAGCAGCCGCGGUAAUACGUAGGGUGCAAGCGUUGUCCGGAUUUAUUGGGCGUAAAGAGCUCGUAGGCGGUUCGUCACGUCGGAUGUGAAAACCUGGGGCUUAACCCCGGGCCUGCAUACGAUACGGGCGAACUAGAGUUCGGUAGGGGAGACUGGAAUUCCUGGUGUAGCGGUGAAAUGCGCAGAUAUCAGGAGGAACACCGGUGGCGAAGGCGGGUCUCUGGGCCGAUACUGACGCUGAGGAGCGAAAGCGUGGGGAGCAAACA